UGGGGAAUAUUGCGCAAUGGGGGAAACCCUGACGCAGCGACGCCGCGUGAGCGAUGAAGGCCUUAGGGUUGUAAAGCUCUGUUUUAAGGGACGAAUGUUACGGGGAGUAAUAUGCCCUGUAAAUGACGGUACCUUAGGAGGAAGCCCCGGCUAACUACGUGCCAGCAGCCGCGGUAAGACGUAGGGGGCGGGCGUUGUCCGGAAUUACUGGGCGUAAAGAGCACGUAGGCGGGACUUUAAGUCAGGUGUGAAAGACCGGGGCUCAACCUCGGGGUGGCACUUGAAACUGGGGUUCUUGAGGGCAGGAGAGGAAAGUAGAAUUCCUGGUGUAGCGGUGAAAUGCGUAGAAAUCAGGAGGAAUACCAGUGGCGAAGGCGACUUUCUGGACUGACCCUGACGCUGAGGUGCGAGAGCGUGGGUAGCAAACAG
This 429-nucleotide ribosomal RNA is filed under the name uncultured bacterium. RNAcentral describes it as "bacterial SSU rRNA". It matches the Rfam family "Bacterial small subunit ribosomal RNA", at positions 355 to 775 of the family's 1533-position model. The record is from RNAcentral.